Molecule: non-coding RNA, 302 nt
Organism: Drosophila melanogaster (fruit fly)
Lineage: Eukaryota; Metazoa; Arthropoda; Insecta; Diptera; Drosophilidae
Source: Ensembl
AGUUGAAUAGAACUUUGUUAAUAUCAUCAUAUCAUCAUCAUAAAAUGCACAUUACAAAAAUAUUAACAAAAUUUAUUGCAGGCAGUCCGUAGUUAGUAAAAGUUCCUAAAGAUCUCAGUCCCUGGCUGCGGGACUGAAACGCUUUUCGGACUCUGAACGUACGGCCGCCAAGGUGUGAACAUAAAGAGGAUCGUUCUCUCCUACCAAUAGCUCCGAAUAUUCUCGUUAUGGAUUUACAAACGUAGAACCAACCACCACCUUUGUUUGGGUGGCUGGUGAAUAGAUCAGUUUUUGUUGUACAG